CCCUUUGGGUGUGACUGCGUACCUUUUGUAUAAUGGGUCAGCGACUUAUAUUCUGUAGCAAGGUUAACCGAAUAGGGGAGCCGGAGGGAAACCGAGUCUUAACCGGGCGUUAAGUUGCAGGGUAUAGACCCGAAACCCGGUGAUCUAGCCAUGGGCAGGUUGAAGGUUGGGUAACACUAACUGGAGGACCGAACCGACUAAUGUUGAAAAAUUAGCGGAUGACCUGUGGCUGGGGGUGAAAGGCCAAUCAAACCGGGAGAUAGCUGGUUCUCCCCGAAAGCUAUUUAGGUAGCGCCUCGUGAAUUCAUCUCCGGGGGUAGAGCACUGUUUCGGCUAGGGGGCCAUCCCGGCUUACCAACCCGAUGCAAACUGCGAAUACCGGAGAAUGUUAUCACGGGAGACACACGGCGGGUGCUAACGUCCGUCGUGAAGAGGGAAACAACCCAGACCGCCAGCUAAGGUCCCAAAGUCAUGGUUAAGUGGGAAACGAUGUGGGAAGGCCCAGACAGCCAGGAUGUUGGCUUAGAAGCAGCCAUCAUUUAAAGAAAGCGUAAUAGCUCACUGGUCGAGUCGGCCUGCGCGGAAGAUGUAACGGGGCUAAACCAUGCACCGAAGCUGCGGCAGCGACACUGUGUGUUGUUGGGUAGGGGAGCGUUCUGUAAGCCUGUGAAGGUGUGUCGUGAGGCAUGCUGGAGGUAUCAGAAGUGCGAAUGCUGACAUAAGUAACGAUAAAGCGGGUGAAAAGCCCGCUCGCCGGAAGACCAAGGGUUCCUGUCCAACGUUAAUCGGGGCAGGGUGAGUCGACCCCUAAGGCGAGGCCGAAAGGCGUAGUCGAUGGGAAACGGGUUAAUAUUCCCGUACUUGGUGUUACUGCGAAGGGGGGACGGAGAAGGCUAUGUUGGCCGGGCGACGGUUGUCCCGGUUUAAGCGUGUAGGUGUGUGUUCCAGGUAAAUCCGGUUCACUUUAACACUGAGGCGUGACGACGAGGCACUACGGUGCUGAAGCAACAAAUGCCCUGCUUCCAGGAAAAGCCUCUAAGCAUCAGGUAACAUCAAAUCGUACCCCAAACCGACACAGGUGGUCAGGUAGAGAAUACCAAGGCGCUUGAGAGAACUCGGGUGAAGGAACUAGGCAAAAUGGUGCCGUAACUUCGGGAGAAGGCACGCUGACACGUAGGUGAAGUGAUUUACUCAUGGAGCUGAAGUCAGUCGAAGAUACCAGCUGGCUGCAACUGUUUAUUAAAAACACAGCACUGUGCAAACACGAAAGUGGACGUAUACGGUGUGACGCCUGCCCGGUGCCGGAAGGUUAAUUGAUGGGGUCAGCGCAAGCGAAGCUCCUGAUCGAAGCCCCGGUAAACGGCGGCCGUAACUAUAACGGUCCUAAGGUAGCGAAAUUCCUUGUCGGGUAAGUUCCGACCUGCACGAAUGGCGUAAUGAUGGCCAGGCUGUCUCCACCCGAGACUCAGUGAAAUUGAACUCGCUGUGAAGAUGCAGUGUACCCGCGGCAAGACGGAAAGACCCCGUGAACCUUUACUAUAGCUUGACACUGAACAUUGAGCCUUGAUGUGUAGGAUAGGUGGGAGGCUUUGAAGUGUGGACGCCAGUCUGCAUGGAGCCGACCUUGAAAUACCACCCUUUAAUGUUUGAUGUUCUAACGUGGACCCGUUACCCGGGUUGCGGACAGUGUCUGGUGGGUAGUUUGACUGGGGCGGUCUCCUCCUAAAGAGUAACGGAGGAGCACGAAGGUUGGCUAAUCCUGGUCGGACAUCAGGAGGUUAGUGCAAUGGCAUAAGCCAGCUUGACUGCGAGCGUGACGGCGCGAGCAGGUGCGAAAGCAGGUCAUAGUGAUCCGGUGGUUCUGAAUGGAAGGGCCAUCGCUCAACGGAUAAAAGGUACUCCGGGGAUAACAGGCUGAUACCGCCCAAGAGUUCAUAUCGACGGCGGUGUUUGGCACCUCGAUGUCGGCUCAUCACAUCCUGGGGCUGAAGUAGGUCCCAAGGGUAUGGCUGUUCGCCAUUUAAAGUGGUACGCGAGCUGGGUUUAGAACGUCGUGAGACAGUUCGGUCCCUAUCUGCCGUGGGCGCUGGAGAACUGAGGGGGGCUGCUCCUAGUACGAGAGGACCGGAGUGGACGCAUCACUGGUGUUCGGGUUGUCAUGCCAAUGGCACUGCCCGGUAGCUAAAUGCGGAAGAGAUAAGUGCUGAAAGCAUCUAAGCACGAAACUUGCCCCGAGAUGAGUUCUCCCUGAGACUUAAAGUCUCCUGAA
This 2269-nucleotide ribosomal RNA is filed under the name Salmonella enterica subsp. enterica serovar Enteritidis. Its description in RNAcentral is "partial 23S ribosomal RNA". It matches the Rfam family "Bacterial large subunit ribosomal RNA", at positions 582 to 2832 of the family's 2925-position model. Lineage: Bacteria; Pseudomonadati; Pseudomonadota; Gammaproteobacteria; Enterobacterales; Enterobacteriaceae. The record is from RNAcentral.